Molecule: non-coding RNA, 195 nt
Filed under: Halococcus morrhuae DSM 1307
Lineage: Archaea; Methanobacteriati; Methanobacteriota; Halobacteria; Halobacteriales; Halococcaceae
Description: Sense overlapping transcript RNA 0042 (sot)
Rfam family: Sense overlapping transcript RNA 0042 (sot)
About the family: It is associated with IS1341-type transposase (tnpB) genes, at the 3'-end in H. salinarum NRC-1. The tetraloop structural motif may be functional.
Source: Rfam by way of RNAcentral
AGGUACUCCCGAAUCCUCAGCGAGAGGAUAGGGAUAACGGCUGGUUGGCACAGCCAGCGGUUCGCCUGUUCGACCGUAGCGAGGGCCGGUUCGCCCCGCGAGAACAAGAGCCGAACCGCGAACCUUAAUAUCCCAACUGCGGUCGGGAAUCCCCGCCCUCAGCGAGCGCCCGUAUGGGCGCGAGCAGGGCGGGGA